RNAcentral lists this ribosomal RNA (483 nucleotides) under Microdochium bolleyi. RNAcentral's name for it is "eukaryotic LSU rRNA". The stretch from base 102 to 255 matches the Rfam family "5.8S ribosomal RNA". Lineage: Eukaryota; Fungi; Ascomycota; Sordariomycetes; Xylariales; Microdochiaceae. The record is from RNAcentral.
GUUGCCUCGGUGGCUGGUGCUGGAAACAGUGCUGCCACCGGUGGACUACUAAACUCUUGUUAAUUUUUGUCAAAUCUGAAUCAAACUAAGAAAUAAGUUAAAACUUUCAACAACGGAUCUCUUGGUUCUGGCAUCGAUGAAGAACGCAGCGAAAUGCGAUAAGUAAUGUGAAUUGCAGAAUUCAGUGAAUCAUCGAAUCUUUGAACGCACAUUGCGCCCAUUAGUAUUCUAGUGGGCAUGCCUGUUCGAGCGUCAUUUCAACCCUUAAGCCUAGCUUAGUGUUGGGAGACUGCCUAAUACGCAGCUCCUCAAAACCAGUGGCGGAGUCUGUUCGUGCUCUGAGCGUAGUAAUUUUUUAUCUCGCUUCUGCAAGCCGGCCAGACGACAGCCAUAAACCGCACCCUCUCGGGGGGCACUUUUUUAAUGGUUGACCUCGGAUCAGGUAGGAAUACCCGCUGAACUUAAGCAUAUCAAUAAGCGGAG